UUACACCAAAACUAUAGCCAAAAAUCUAAACUUGCCAAUCUUAGCCUUCUAAACUCAAAUGGCCUCAAAAACUAACUCUUAUCCCUAAUAUGGCCUAGGACAGUCUCUUCAAAGCCCAUUGGUCAUGAUUUUUGACCAAUAGGAAUAGAGAUUUUCAUCAUUUAUCUCCAUUCAUCUAUAUUGGUGCCCUAAUUACUUUCUUUGCUACCAAAAUCCUUCUUCAAUCCUUUUUCUUAUAAGAUUUACAUAAUUUAUGCUCUAAACACUAAAUAAAAGAACCAAAAUAAGAUUUCAAAGGUCACCAAUGUCUAAUAAAGGUGAUUCUUAAUAUUUAGAAGUUACUAUCAAUUAAAACCAAUCUUAAAAGCCACUAUCAA
RNAcentral lists this long non-coding RNA (377 nucleotides) under Physcomitrium patens. RNAcentral describes it as "long non-coding RNA (PPAT_LNC010051)". The record is from RNAcentral. Lineage: Eukaryota; Viridiplantae; Streptophyta; Bryopsida; Funariales; Funariaceae.